Non-coding RNA from Prunus avium (sweet cherry), 696 nucleotides. Lineage: Eukaryota; Viridiplantae; Streptophyta; Magnoliopsida; Rosales; Rosaceae. The record is from RefSeq and is a predicted model, not a curated record.
UGAUCUUAACCAACAAUAAUAUACAAGACAGAAUGGAGCCAUUAAUGGCCUCUUCAAGAUUUGUUUUCUUCCUCUCUCCCAUUCUGUUACUAAUAAGUUCUCAAUCCCUUUCUCAGCCUGAGUUUCCAAGCCAUAGCUGUUUCUACGAGAAAGGCAACUAUACCACAGGCAGCACCUACCAAACAAACCUUAACACCCUUCUCUCUUCUCUUUCUUCCCCCUCCAACUGUGGUGCCGUUGCCGUCAUCCCCGCAGCCACUGUCUAGUCCUCUUCCACCAUCGACCAGUACAGGAGGAUCGAAGAGUAAUAGAUCUCGGACUGUCAUCAUUAUUGUUGUGCCAAUUGUUGUUUUUGUGGUAGUUAUAUUCUUCUGCAUUUGUUUAAGAGUAAGGAGGACAAAGACAAAAUCUGAAACUAGGAAGUUACUUCCAGGCGGCAAUGAUACAGAUGAAAUUGGAUCUGCAGAACCCUUGCAAUUUGACUUGGCCACAAUUAGAGUUUCCACAGAUGACUUUUCUGAAGCAAAUAAACUUGGACAAUGUGGAUUUGGAUCUGUUUACAGGGUAUGCAAUUCCCAUCCCCAUCCCCGUUAGCUUUUUCCCCCAUCCCCACCUUCGUUGGGGAAUGGGUUCCCCGACCCGCUCCAAAGGAAUAACCAAUAUAUAACUACUUUGUUGAAAGAAAAAAAGUACUAA